RNAcentral lists this small nuclear RNA (148 nucleotides) under Sphaeramia orbicularis (orbiculate cardinalfish). RNAcentral describes it as "U1 spliceosomal RNA (ENSSORG00005021644.1)". It matches the Rfam family "U1 spliceosomal RNA". Rfam says of the family: U1 is a small nuclear RNA (snRNA) component of the spliceosome (involved in pre-mRNA splicing). Its 5' end forms complementary base pairs with the 5' splice junction, thus defining the 5' donor site of an intron. Lineage: Eukaryota; Metazoa; Chordata; Actinopteri; Kurtiformes; Apogonidae. The record is from RNAcentral.
UUAUUAAAAUUGUAGUUUUUAGAGAUUCACCUAGGGUGAGACUCAACCAUUGCACUCUGGUUAUGCUGACACCCACGAAUUCCCUAAAUGUGGGAGUCUCGACUGCAUAAUAUCUGAUUGUGAAGGGCUGCGUUUGCCCUCUCCCUUA